AAGCUUCAAUGGAUGCCUUACUCAGCGGGGAUGCUGCUCAGGAUGGUGGAAACCCAAUGGACCUUUGGAGCUUUGAUGAUCUGCCUACUGUGGUGGGGGGAGUUUUCUGAGCAAACUUUUCCCUUGCUAGCUGGUCUUCUGUAAAUAAAGCUACAUGUUAGUAAAUUUCACCCUACCAUUAACUUAUUAAUGAUUUUGUAUCUCUCUGAUUCCUUGCUUUAUUUGGAUGCUUCUUUGCUUCUUAAAAAUAGGUUUUCUUUCUCAUCUUUUCUGUUUUCAGGAAUGGUUGUUGCCAGCGUUGCAGUUUGAGUUCACGGUUGGACAUGCAUAAGGCUUGGCUGAAGAGUGUUUUCUUAGGUAGCUAUUGUUAUAUGGGGAGUAAAUAGGUAUUUAGGUAUCUUUUACUUUCAAGACUUUGAAUUGGCACUUUGAAUUUUAUGUCUGUAUCUUGAAGAUUAUAUGGGUUGGAAGACUGAAACCUGAUAAAAUACCACCUUUGCUGUUUGUUUCAAACAUGGUCACUACUUUCUUAGGACUGUCAGUCCAUGGAUAUGUUUAUAUAUCUGUAUUGUGAUUUUUAUUUUUUAUUUUUUAUUUUCUUUUUAAAGCUUUGUUAUAUGGCAUAAGUGCCACAGCUAGAUUGCUUUGAAAGAUUGCUUUGAAAGAGCCGUGAAUACUUCUUUCCCAAUUCUGUCUCAUCUUGUUGACCACCGCCACAAAUGUUUGAAUUGAGUGUUUGCUUUGCAUGCAUAGGUAUUGGAAAUGUAGUAAUCAUCGUAUAGGUUGUGUACUUUAUUAACUCCAUAAUAUUUUGUUGGCUCCAAUACUUCUAUCUACCCACUUCACCUUGUCUAAGAAUCCUUUUUCGGCAUCAUCUUCUGGUGUAUGUUUUGGUUGUGUAAUUCUGUUCUUGGUACAUUGGUUGUUUGGUUUAUACUCUUUCUUCGCAAGUCCUAGUUGCACAAUUUGUGGGGGGAUUCAGGGAGCACAUUAGAGGUUUGUUUGGAUCUUGAAAAGUACGAGGGGAAAUAAAGGCAUUGAAAACAUCCUGAGGAAUGAAUCACUCAAUUAGUGCUUGGUAUUUUCUUUUCUUCCUGUCAUCCUUUAACAUCCAAGCAGAUCCUUGUAAACCAAAACUUGCUCACUUUCUCUCCUGCUUGGAGAGGUGAAUAAUUCAGUAGUAACUUGAGUUAGGUGCGUCAAACGAUCGUUAAAAGGAACAGCACAAUUUUGUUGUGGAAUUGGAGUAAAAGUAGCUCUGUAUUCCCUUAUUUUUGCUUUGUUUAUCUUCUUGCGAAAGAGAGGUGAGGAGAAAUUUCUUCAUAGAUAUGUAUCCCCUUCUUUUUUGUUAUCUUAGUGGAAAGGGUAACGAGGUGUAGCAUAACCAACACUAGCACAUCAGAACUCUGCCUGCUGGAUGUAGUCCUCCCCGGCAUGCCACCAUCAAGGGAAUUUUCACGGCCACAAUUAACCCCCACUGCCACCAAUCCACCCAUGCCUGCAGCAGCCUCCAUUAUUUCUGACCCCUAGCAAUCAGUCACAAAGGACCUUCUAGUCCUGGUCACUGGUGGCAUUGAAAUCUGCAGUCAUGGACCAUUGGUGAGUUUGAACAAACAUUGGUUAUUGAAUAGAGUGUUAGCAAUGCAAGGCUUCAACAUGUGGUAAUGAUGCUGGAGAGGUGUUAAAGAAGUCAGGACACACAUGAUGAAGAUUGAAAGUUAUGGUGAUGUAGGUGAAAGUGCUUGUGUUGUUGGUGGUGGAGGUUGCCAAGUGAGUGGCAUAACUGGUGGAAAUGGUGGUUGUUACUGAUGCAUACUGCUUUUCUACUGAUAGUUGCAAUAUACGAUUCUAUCUAGGUUUUCAAACCCCUCAUUUAUGCUUUGCCAUACCGACCAGCCAUUCACAACUAUUCUACUUUUACUUUUCCUGCCUUGCCAGAUUAUUCAGGCAUACAUUUAAUCUGCACAUUUUUUAUUUCUUUCACCUGUCCUCAUCACUCUUGUAUUUAUUGGUUCCUUCAAUCUUUUACCAUAUGAAGUGGGUUGUGCACAUGAUGGCCCCCACCGCAUUCGACACUCACUUUUUUGUGGGUUUUGCAUUAAUUUCAAAAUUAGCACAAUUUACUGAAAAAGAAAAGAAGUAUGUAUUUUUUUUUUUUUUCUCCUAGUGCAUUGUAGUCUGAAAGUGAGGUUUUCUUAGGGACAAACCCAUGUGUCAAUGUUGGAGGCUUGAAAAAAAUGGUGUUUGGAUUUGAUGCUUAAGAUGAGUGUCGGCCCUGGGAUAGUGCUUAAACCCUAGGGGUGAUUAGCAGAAUCAUGACUUGAAUAUUGAUUAAUGGGAGAUGUCAAAUCCCAAGAUCUCGAUCAUAUGUUAGUUGAGAUUGCUGUUACACGUGGUGGAGGGUGGUGGGGUUAGUUGAAGGGUGAAGGGUGGUUGAGGUGUGAGGCUGAGCUGAGCUGAGGGAGGACUCUCCAAAAAUGAUGAGAGGUGAGGUGAGGUGGAGGUGGGGGCCAAUUUUUAUUUCUUGGAGAUCACAACACCUAGUUUCAUGAGCCCCUGCUACUGUUUCUACUGUUUUUGUGCAAAUGGACAAGGACGAGGACAACCAACAUCAUCUUCGAUUCAUCAAACUGCAUAAAGGCAUCCUCGUGAUUUUUGUUGUCACAGAGACAGAACAGAAGGCAGCAGCAGCAGCAGCAGCGCCCUUUGCCCACGGCCGCGGGAGACUCCCCCACCCCCAUUACCACAUACACCAAAUCCAUGAUUACCAUGUGAUUCCAUCUUAUUAUGGGGUUGUUAAAGGGGCACAUAGGCCCUGAGUCCAAGGCACAAUGACUCCCAAGUUGUCGUGGCCUUUCUAAAUUGAACAUAUUUGAUGAUAUAUGAGCAUAUAACAAAUAUUGUACAUGCAUCUUUAAGUUGUAUUUCACUUUGUUUAUGUGCGUGUCAUAUGCCUAGGCACAAGGCCUUUUUUUCCCGCCUUUGCGUGGCCUUGCGCCUUUCAUAACUACGUAACCUCUUCCCUCUGCCUUUUUCCCUUUUUAGCCUCCCCUUUUAUUGAUAUUGUUGUUGGAGUGAAGGAGAGAGUAACCCACUUUGCCACUCAACGUCUCAUUCUUAAAUUUGGUCAUACCAAACCCUUUUGAAUUAGGGAUGAUGGACAUUUGAUCUCGUUAUCAAACCCUAUAUAAUCGACUUGGAAUUGAGCAAAGGCUAUAAUGAUCUUGUCGUACUCAUUAUGAUCAAAUUUUUGACAUGUCGAUCAACCACCCAUUCACUAAAAGAUUCCAAGAUACCAAAUUCAAAAUCUAUAUAGUUGAAAUUUAUGAUCAAAUUUGACCCAUUGAAUAAAGAUAAGUAGGGAUGUUUUAAUUGCAAUUUUGUAGCACUCGCUUUUUCUCCCUCACAUGGAAACUGAAGGGAUACUGUUCCAUUUUUAUGUUAGAGGCAAAUAGUUUCUACACAUUAUAAUUCCAAUUUUAAGGAAGAUAAUCACAAAAAUUUGAAAGCAGUGUCAAUGACCAAGAAUUUGGUGUUAAACGAAUUCAUAGAGUGGAGGCCUAAACUUGAAAGCGACCUGUCUAUAGCUUGGGUUGGAUCCAAGGCCACCCAGGAGAGGUCCACACUCAACCCCAUCAAUUUUCAGACAUAUGGUGGACCUGUCUAUCAGCACAAUGAGUACCCUCAACACAAAGCAAACCCCAUCAUCGACCCCAAUUAUAGAGGACCCACUAAUCUGAAACAAAUUUGAAGGCCCAACCCCAUUUAUUGGUGCUUGAUAAGAUAUAGGCCCAGGACACAGGGAUGGCUGUACCAGCCUCCCAGGCCAACUUGCCUGAAAUGUUAAGAAUGAUGAGACCAUCAACUUUUAUGCGUUGGUUAGCUAAUGUAAAAAUUAAUGAACAAAUUACAGAAGAUCAAGAUCAUGCCCUGAUUUUAGAGGAUAUCAGUUUUCCAUAAUCUAUGAUACUAAUAGGGAAGAGAUGGAAGCUAUAGGGACUUUAAACAAUCAUGCCCUGGUGCCUCUUGGAAGUAUGCUGAUCAGGGCUCAAGCAAUCUUUGCCUUCCAGUUCCUGUUAGUCUGAGCAGAGUAUGAAGACUCUGGGCAGACAUUAGAAUGCCGAGAAAACACAAAUGUCAACUCAACUGAGCUUAACACAAAUUAACAAUGUAAUACCAAUCAUAAUGAAUUGAUCAAAAAUUUUAUUGUAUGGAAUAUAUGCCAAAACUAGAGUAUUUCCCUUUGAAGAAGUCAUCCCUUUCUAACAAUAGAAAGGUUUGGGAAUUGGGAGUUAAUCCUAGCAAGGAAGGAAUAAGAAAGGGCUUCAAUCAGAGGAUAACAUCGUAUUCCUUCUUCCUAUGGAAGUAGUGCCAUGUACUAAUUAAAAAACUAAACAGAGGAACAGUUAAAUUACUUAGGCUAAUUAAACUCCAAGAUGAAGAGCUGCAAUGGCUGUUCCAACACAUAAUUCAAAUUGUUUGUCUUUACAACUCCACCAUGCAUAUUCUUUCAAGAGGUGUUGUUUCUUCUUUCUCAUCAUCCUUCUUUCCAUGGCCAUGAUGGUGGGUGUUGCUAUAUUGACCAUUGUCUUCAUCUUGAAGCCCCAAAAGCCUGUUUUCUCCCUCCAAACAAUGAGUUUGGAGUCCUAUAAGCUAGACGUAUAUUCAAAUUCAACCCUGUUUAUUUCAUCUGUUAUUUCAUUAACUUUAAAUGCUCAAAAUCCUAACAAGGUUGACCUAGGUUUUAGCCCUUCAAGACUUGAUAUCCUCUACAAGGGACUUCCCAUAGGAGUAAUACAUGUUCCUGGAUUCUACCUGCCUGCUCACAGCUAUAAUGUGCUUGUGAAAAACCGGGUUUUGUUUCCCUGUGUGAAUGUUAGCCAAAUCAUUUCUGAGGUUUCAAGGCAAACACUGAUUCAGAUGAGAAUACUAGGUGACAUUGGAGCUCACGUGCGGGUGUUUCAUAUAACCCUACCGAAAAUCAAGGUCUGUCUUGCAUCUUCUUUUGUCAAGAUGAAGCUCUACUCUUUAGCAGCCAUGAAAGUAAACCCUUUAUUGUGAAAGAAAUAAAGCUAUGAACACAAUGCCCUUUCCUGCUUCCCUGCUUCAUCUACUCUGAAAUUGUCUUGCUACAUUAGUCUGAAAUAUAAAGAGCUUAUUUGGGAACAAUUUUAGGAAGUGUUUAUAAUCUUUUUAGCACUUGAAAUUUCGAGUGCUAAAAAGGUUAGAAAAGAUUUCUAGAAUCAUGACCAAAUGGAUUCUAAAGCUUGUAUGAUAGGAUUUUACUUUGAAAAUUUGUUCUUGUGUUUCCCAUUUGUGUAGCUUGCCCUGGACUGCAACAUUAAUAUUGAUUAUCAAGAGCUCACAUUCAAGAAUGAAUUGUAUGCCAUGACAGUAGCACAAAAUCUCAACGUACGUCCUCCCUUAUCACUUUUGUUUGUCCUCUUUUCCCUUAUUUUGGUAGUUGUUUAAAUAUUUUACAUAUCUGUUUAUCUAUUUAUGUAUCCAUUUUUGACGUCUACUUUUCCUUUCCAGGCAGCAUUUCCUGCUAACAUCCAAACCUUCUCCAAGAACUGUUCAGUAGCCUUCUUAAUCUAAACAUGCACUAUUGAGAAAUAUAAUGUAUCAUUUUGAUUGUUAACAGAGGUUUUGUUCUCUUAUGGCAUCCCUUUCCCAUUGGAAGUAUAGUUAUUCUAGUUUAAUCAACAUGCCAAAGUCCAAAUGGCUAGAGUUUUUGUUUCAUGUGGAACUUCUCUGAUUGUAGAUUUCUUAGAACUGGUUAUUUUUUAUCCCAGAAGAUAUUAAGGAAGAAAAAAAAAUGUUAAAAGAAAAAUGAUUUUCUCAUAUUUGAUCAUAAUAUGAUUUUCCUUCCAAAUUUUCAGGAAUCAAACAUUGCGUAUAUGUAAACUUUAAACAAGGGUUAUAUUGAUUAAUUCUCGAGAAGCCUUGAUCUCACAAGGCUAGAAAUGCUUUUUGUUUCUUUCAAAAUCACUCUCAAAUAAGCUUUCAUUUAAGGGUAGGUAGAAAAAAACCCUUCUGUCAUAUUUUUUCAUCUUUGUCUAAACCUUGCAGGAUCAUCAUUUUAUAAAUUUUGGGUGCAAACCCUUCUCUUAAAAAAAAAAAAAAAAAAAUUCAAAAACCCUCUGCAUUGACCAAAAACUAUACAUAAAUACUUGAUUGGCUAGGUGGGCAUUCUAGAUAAAAUGAGUACUUUUGAACCAUUCUACCACAUUUUUUAACUUAAUCAAUAAUCUAAGUCAAUAGUCCAUGUGCAGUAUGCAUUAAUAAAAAACACCCAAAUCAGCUUUUCUGAAAUAGAUCUUCUUCAUCACAAGUGAUGACCAUUUAACUAACUUCAACUUGCAACUGCAUUUAAGGCGGGAAAAAGCUAUGCUCUGGGCCAGUCAAAGAUGAAUACAACUACACAUAUUUUUCCUUUUCACACCACAUUAAAAAGGUUAAGAGAAUUAAAGAAAAAAAAAAAAAAGGCUUCACAUGUGGAAACAGCAAUAAUGUUGCUGACAGCAGAUGCAUGAAGGACUGCCAAGGACCCAAUCAGAAGUUGCCACAUUGAUGAUACUAAAAACAAAUUGAUAGUUGUUAUGCCACAUAAAGCAAAUAAAAUUUGACCUUCUCGAAUCUUUUGUUGGCCUCCAGUUAACAGUGCUCACUCUGACAAGCUCCUUUCCCCAAAACCUCAUCACCCAUCUCAUUUACUUCCCCAAUUUCCAUCUUAAUUUUAUGUUUUUUAAUUGCCUCAAACUCAAUUCAAACUUAACGCUACUCAUGAAUUUUGAUGUGUCGAGCAAUGGUGGAUCUACAAUGUAUAUCAAGCUGAUAUGGGUUACAACAAAUGGAUAGUUUAAACUUGAGACUUCCCGUAGAACAAGCCUCUGAUUCACAAGUUUAGGGUUAAUGUACAAGCUAUUUUGUCUGAAUUUGAAUUUAGAUUGCUAAUUCAUUGACAAUUAACGGAGUUCCAAAGCAGGUAUGAACAUAUAUUUGUGUGGAUAGUUUGGUCAUUUCAAUAGUAGCAACAAUGAGGUUAGUACAUUUAUGGGUCAAUUAUAAGUAGGCAUGAUGAUGAGUAAGACUAAGGUGAAGAAGUCUUAGCCAUGGCCAGGCUGAUCAGCUCCCUCUCUUGCAUCUUGAUUCUAACUAUACUUCUCUUCCCAACAAUCUGUCUCAGCAAAACCCAGAACCCAGAAAGCCAAGCAGCAGAAGCAUCAGCAGCCUUGUUCAUAUUUGGAGACUCUUUCUUUGAUUCUGGAAACAACAAUUACAUCAACACCACAACACUUGACCAAGCAAAUUUCUGGCCUUAUGGAGAGACCUACUUCAAGUUCCCAACAGGGAGAUUCUCUGAUGGCCGUCUUAUAUCAGACUUUAUUGGUGAGAUUUGGAAGCCUUUUGUUCAGUUAUCUGCUAUGCAAAUUCACUUGGCUUAUAGGCCAACUAGGCCUUUUUAUCUCUUCCACUUACUCUUCCUUUUUUAUCUGUCACUUUCGUUGUAGCACAAUAUGCAAAGCUGCCCAUGAUUCCUCCCUUUCUCCAACCGGGUGUUCAUCAAUUUUACUAUGGAGUGAACUUUGCAUCUGCUGGAGCAGGAGCUCUUGUCGAAACGUUUCAAGGGGCGGUACGUAAAUUCUACAGUAGAUAUCAACAAAAUAUGCUUUGUUACUGCUGUUCUAGAUAAUGUGAAUGUACAUGAUCAAUCAUAUUUUGCAUACUGUCUUGCUUUUGAGAUUACCUGGGGUUGAGAUGAGAGAGUGUUGGAAGUCCAUUUGCUUCCAAAUUGACAAAGUCAAUGGCUGAAACCACCUUUUUUUUGGUGAGUUUUGACAAGUCUUUUAGCUCACAUGGGUAGGGGCCAGUUGAGGGGAGAGAGAAACACAGCUCCAAGCUAUAUGUAGAUUUGAUUUGUGAAUACUCAACCCCUGAAAAGGUAAAGGGAAGUGAUAAACUUAUCAAAUUGUUUUGUUCAAAGUUCAAACUGCUUAUUUUAUAUAUAAGCUGCUAGAAAAUCUAGCAUGACUCCAAAAAGGUAGAUUGGCAGUUAUGGACUUUUAGCAGAGUGUAAAGACAAUUUGAAAUAGACAUGAAUCUACCAGUGAUCAUUCUUAGAAAAGAAAAUGAUUCAAGUUAGGCGUUUACAAAACCUACUCACUUCAAUAGUAAGGGAUUACUUGAAUUGUGAAUCUUCUUGAAACUUACUAGAAGGUGGUGUGAUUCAUUUUCAGGUAAUCGAUCUCAAAACACAGCUAAAGUACUAUAACAAGGUAGUGAUUUGGUUGAGACACAAGCUGGGCAAUUUUGAAGCAAAGAUGAGACUAUCAAGAGCUGUGUAUUUGUUUAGCAUUGGGAGCAACGAUUACAUGAGCCCGUUCUUGACUAAUUCUACUAUACUAGACUCCUACUCUGAAUCAGAAUAUGUCGGUAUGGUGAUUGGCAACUUGACAACCGUUAUCAAAGUAAGCAUCACUCCUAUUUUCAGCUUCUUCAACAAACACUUUAGGAUAAAUCACUGAGAACUCAACUUAGGCAUUUGAGACUAGCACUUUUAAGGACAGUGCUUUCAUCUUCAUGAGAUCAAAUGUGGUUAAUUUAUUAAUGCCCAUGCUUUGAAUUAUUGUUAAUUUGGCAGAAAAUAUAUAGUAGAGGAGGCAGGAAAUUCGGGUUUCUCAACUUGCCACCAUUGGGUUGUUUUCCAGGCCUCAGAGUACUCAAACCAGAUAAGAAUGGUAGCUGCUUAGAGAAAGUUUCAAUGCUAGCAAAGUUACAUAACAGAGCUCUCUCCAAACUUCUUGUAAAAUUAGAAAACCAGUUACUUGGAUUCAAGUACUCAUACUAUGACUUCAACAGCAAUCUCAAACAAAGGAUGAAUCGCCCCGCUAAAUAUGGUACAUAUUACAUACAUGUCAUAGCAAUUCUCAUUUCAGGUUUGUUACUGCUGAUCAUUAACUGAAGUUUGCUUUGUUGAAUGGGGAAAAUGCUGGUGUCACAAAGGUUUCAAGGAAGGCAAAACAGCAUGCUGUGGGACGGGCCAGUUUCGGGGAGUAUUCAGCUGUGGAGGAAGAAGAAUAGUGAAGGAAUUUCAGUUGUGUGAGAACCCAAGUGAAUAUGUAUUUUGGGACUCUUUCCAUCUCACUGAGAAGCUAUACAAGCAAUUAGCUGAUGAAAUGUGGAGUGGAUCUCCCUACUCUGAUGUUGUUAGGCCUUACAGUCUCAAAAACCUAUUCUUCCCAAGAGUAUAGCUUUUUCAAUUUUUAUAGCUACUGUUAUAGAAAUUGGAAUAAAACAAGAAACAGAAGCAAUUUCACUGAUUUUUUUUUCCUGCUAAUAAAUCAAUGAAACCCAAUUUCCAUGUUCUUCAGGAUGGAAAAAUUGUACCUGUGCUAUGUAGAUUCUCAGUAUAGUAGAGCUGAUCUCUGUUUCCAGCUGAAUCAGAAAAAUAUUCAAUCAAAUAAUUGCUCCUGUAGCUGCAGUAAGAAACAAAUUAAAAUUGAAACCCUAAUAGAACAAUAUUACAUCAUCUUGACCCAAAACAAACACACAGAAAAAUGAAAUUUUUUUAUUACCAGAUAAGAACAAAAUUCAGAAAAGUCAUGGCUGAACUGACUCUGGUUUUAUUGACCAUUUGAUGAACUGAUAAAAGAUUUUUAUCAGAUGGGAAUGUAUGUAAAAGUUGGAACAAGGGAGAAAGAUUACAGUAAAUGAACCAGACAUCAAAUGGCAAGAUUCAGCAAAUCUAUUUUUAGUUCAAUCAAAUAGGUGUUCUGCUUGCCGCAAUGAGAAACAAAUUAAAACUGAAUAACUUUACGUAAUAAUAUUGGUCCAUCUUGACCAAAAAUAUACACAGAAGAAAAAGAAAAUUCUUGAUUACCAAAUAAGAACAAUGAAAAAACGUCAUGGCUGAGCAUAUUCUGACUGCCAAAGUCAUGAUCAGACAUAAUUCAAUCUCUGCAUAUUGGUGGAUGGCACUGCUAGUUCAACAAAAAGGAAAACUUGUUAUCUAUUUGAUCUACCUUGCAAAAUUGUCUUCACUGGGCUAUAUAGAAGUAGGGAGAAUGAUUACAGAAAGUGAAUCAGACAUUAAAUGGCAAAUCUAAGCUUUCAUAUAAUCUAUUUGUCGGUUGUUUGUGUAUGUAUUAUCAUCCCAACCAGCAGCCAGCCCCUGCACUUUUCAUCUUUGGUGAUUCAUUUUUUGAUGCUGGAAAUAGUAACUUUAUCAAUACCACCACUGAUUAUCAGGCAAAGUUCUGGCCAUACGGGGAAACCUUCUUUGACUAAACCACUGGAAGAGUUUCCGAUGGCCGCAUGAUCCCUGAUUUUAUAGGUGAAAGGACUAGUUUAGUAUGUUGUUUUCUUUUGCAUCUGAAUAAGCUGUUGCCCUCCUGACUUUUGUUGGUUUGCUUCAGCUGAGCAUGCAAAACUCCCAUUCAUUCCACCAUAUCUACAACCUGGUAAUGAUCAAUUUUCUUAUGGGGCAAAUUUCGCAUCUGCUGGAGCUGGAACCCUGGAUGAGAUUAAUCAAGGAUUGGUAUGUCUUCUCUUGAAAAGGGAUUACAAUAACCUAAGGAGUUGGUACUUGGUGCUGCAGGCACUAAUGGCCUUGAAAUCUAAUUGGGCCAACGCAGCUCAGUUGAUUAUGUCACUCCAUAUUCAAGUCCAUACUCUUGAUCACAACCCAUUUCAUGUUUAGGCUUGCUUAUUAAUAACAGGCUGAAAUCAUUGCAUCUAAACUAAUUUGACUUAACUUUUUCGGCUAACUUGGCUUUGCUCUUUUUUAUUUACUUGUACAGCACCAAACAUUUUUGUCUUGAGAACAUGGUUGUAUACCAUUUUCAGGUGAUAAGCCUAAACAGUCAGCUAAGCUAUUUCAAGAAUGUGGAGAAACAGUUUAGGCAAAGGCUAGGUGAUGAAGCUGCCAAGAAAGUGUUGUUUGAAGCUGUGUACUUGAUCAGCAUUGGCACCAAUGACUACCUGAGUCCCUUCUUCAGAGACUCCACUGUGUUUCAGUCCUACUCUCAGAAACAAUACAUAAAUAUGGUGGUCGGCAAUUUGACAGAAGUCAUCAAAGUAAUAUAGCAUCUUUUGUCUUUGAAACCAUUUUUUCUACUUAAUAUGCUAGAGAAUGUUCUUUUUUACAUUAAAAACAGUUUUAUUUUUCUAUGUUUAGCCCUUACUGUUUAUCUAUGUUUCAGGAAAUAUAUAAGAAAGGAGGAAGGAAGUUUGGGUUUGUUAAUUUGGCGCCAUUGGGUUGUCUACCAAUCAUGAAAGAAAUCAAACUCCAACAGGGAGGCACCGGUGAGUGCAUGGAAGAAGCCACAGAGCUAGCAAAACUACACAACAUAGCUCUCUCCAAGGCCCUGAAGAAGCUAGAGAUCAAGUUAAAAGGCCUCAAAUUUCCAAUUUCCAAUUUCUAUACUCUCCUUGAGGAAAGAAUGGACAAGCCUUCAAAAUAUGGUAUGCUGCCCUCUUCUUCACAUUAUGUGAUUUUCCCUGUGGCUCAAUUGCACUUCUGUUCUAACUCACCUUUUGUGUUGAUGCUGCUAAGGUUUCAAGGAAGGGAAGAAAGCAUGUUGCGGUUCGGAUCCCUACAGGGGCCUUUUGAGUUGUGGAGGGAAGAGAACAAUAAAAGAGUAUGAGUUAUGCAGCAAUGUAAGCGAACAUGUGUUCUUUGAUUCAGCUCAUUCUACCGACAAGGCCAACCAGCAAAUGACUGAGUUAAUGUGGAAGGGAACUGGCAAUGUCACAGGACCCUACAAUUUGGAAGCGUUCGGAGAUAGUCAAGAAUAGAUAGAGAGUAAAUAAUUUCAGACAUCUUCCUGACACUCACAUAUGCCAAUGAAUAAAUUAUCAGUCCAAUUCAUUUGUACUUCGUAUUUUCAAACGCCUGAUAAAUGUACUCAAUACUGUGUUUCUUCAGAAUGAAGGUUUAGUUCAGACAAUUGGACUGGAAGUAGUUUCCAACUAAUAAAUUUAGCUUCUUGCUACUUCUAUCAAAUAAUUUCUCUGCUUGCAGAAAUAAGAAGCAGAUUAAAAUUGAAACCUUAUUACAAGAAUGUGGAAAUCCGAAGGAAAUUCAGUUGUGUACACAGUUGUGUUACAACUACAAUUGUAUUAUAGUUGUAUCACAGCUAUGAUAUAGUUGUACUUCAGCUGUUAUAGUUGUAUUUCCUAUUCUAAGUUUAUUUCCUGAUUUUAUGUGAGACUUUCUCUCUUAAAAUUAAGGAUUAGAUUUUUUUUUCUAAAGAAGAUAGCCUUAGUCAUUCAUGUAUAUAAAUAUCGAUACUAUAAUCAUUUUGAUAAAAAUUAUAUAUAUUUUUUCUCCCUAAAAUUUCUUCAUGGUAUCAAAAAGCAUAUUUUGAACUAUUCAAUCUCGUCCAUAACCAAAUACCGAAUAGCCACCAAAAAGGACUCCUCAACCUCAGAAGUCACCUCCACUCAAGAAGUUCCUAUUCCGAGCAAUAAUGGAGGAUCGGAUGGUGUUGCUCUUCUCAUUACUGGACACAAAUGGAAUGGGUAAAACUAUCUUCAAUAGUCUCAUGCAUGCAAUCAUGAUGUUCAUAUGUGGUAGAAAGAAGGAUGACUACCUCAUUGGUGCAGUGCCUCAACCUACGAAAGAAGGCUCAAAAUUCAAAGGAUGGAAGGUUGAGAAUAAUAUGGUUAUGUCUUAGUUAAUUAACUCGAUGAAUAAUGACAUAAAGGAAAAUUUUAUACUCUAUAAAAUAGAAAAAGAUAUCUAGGAAGUAGUAAAGGAGAUUUAUUUUGAUAUGGAAGACACAACAAAGACAUUUGAAAUAGAAGGGAUCCUCUAUAAAAUAGAACUACAAAUUUUUAUUAGGUUUGAAUAAAAAUCUGAUGAAGUUCGAUGCAAAAUAUUGGGAACUAAACUUUUACCCAACAUCCGAGAAGUUGCCUUAAAAGUGCGCCGAGAAUAAAGUAGAAAGAAAGUCAUGUUGAGGCCACAAACUAACCAACCUAUCACCUAGGGUUUAGCCUUAGUAACUCGUGGUCCUCCUUAUCCUCCUAAUGGCAAUCGAGAAAGAAAAAUGAGAACUUAGUGUGAUCAUUAUCGAAAACCAAGUCAUAUGAAGGACAUGUGCUAAAAAAUCCAUGGGAAACCAGCAAAUUGGAAGUCGUUAGGUUCUCAAAAUGAUAGAUAAAGUUAAGGACACUAUGUCACCAUUAAGGACAACCUAGCACCACCUAAUUCUAGUAUGUUCAACAAAAAGCAAUUGGAAUUGUUGCAAAAAAUGUUCAACUAAUCCUAAUAAGAGGCAAAUUCCUCUAAUUCUAUCAUUAGGUCCGAAUCCUUAGUUCAAAAAGAUAAUUUUCUUACUACCCUGAAAGUAAAAAAGGAAAAUUUGAGUCCUUAAAUUGUUGACUCAAGAGCUUUUGAUCACAUGACUGGAGAUGCCACAAUUUUUCAAAAUUAUACACCUUGUUAUGGGGAUUAUAUGGUUCGUAUAGUUGAUAGUUCUCUCUCAAAGGUAGCUGGUACAGGUUCUAUUGCCAUCUCUAUGGACCUAACUCUUGACUCUUUUCUUUUUGUUUCGAACUUGGAUUGCAAUUUGUUGUCCAUUAGUAAAUUCACUUACGAAAAGAACUAUGUUAAUAAUUUUUUUCUAAACUAUUGUGUUUUUCAAGAUUUGAAUUCAAGGAAGAUGAUUGACAAUGCUAAGGUGUGUUCAAGACUCUAUAUCUUCAAAGUGGCUAAUUAUAUUGAAAGACAACCUCAAUCGGCAAUUGGUGAAAAACGUUAUCUUUUUGUUUUUAGUUCUAACAAAGAUAGUGAUGUUAUAUUGUGGCAUUAUUGUCUAGGACAUCCUAGUUUCACGUAUCUCAAAAAACUCUUUCCAUUAUUAUUCACUAAAAGUUCAAAUGUUUUUCAUUGUAAAAUUUUUUAAUUAUCCAAGCAUGUUUGUAAGUCCUAUCCAAUUCAACCAUACAAACCAUCUCAUCAUUUUUCCAUGAUACAUAGUGAUGUUUAGGGCUCAUCUAAGAUAAAGAACAUAACAUGGACUAGAUAGUUGUGUGUCCUUUGUAGAUAAUCAUAUUAGAAGUUUUUUGGAUAUUCCUAAUGAAAGAAAAAUCAAAUGUGAGUCAAAUUUAAAAAAAAAAAAUUAUAACAUGAUUCAAACCCAAUUCCAUGUCAAAAUACAAGUGUUGAUAACUAACAAUGUUAUAGAUUAUUUCAAUUCUAUUGAGGGAAAUUCUUAUGAAGAAAAAGAAUAGUUCAUCAAAGUUAUUGCAUUGAUACUCUUCAGCAAAAUGAGAUAGCUGAGAGAAAUAAUAGACACUUAUUAGAAGUUACAAGGGCCCUUAUGUUCUUCUCCCAUGUCCCAAAGAAUUUUUGUGGAGAAAUUGUACUUAUUAUAAUCGAUCUCAUCAAUAGAAUGUCUUCCCGGCCAUGUCUUAAGUUUCCAAACAUCGUGCAAAGUCUUUCUCAAAUCAUACCCUAGGACUCGACUCAUCUCCUCCAUGAAAGUGUUUGAUUGUUUAGCCUUUGUUCACAUUCCCCAACAACAUCAAAGUAAGCUUGAUCCCAAGACUAUUGAGUGUAUUUUCCUAGGAACUCUCCAAAUCAUAAGGUAUAUAAGUGUUCAUCUCCCAUCACAAAAAGGUUCUACACCUCCAUGGAUGUGACAUUCUUUGAAAAUCAACCUUAUUACUCCAAAACUAAUAUUCAAAGGGAGAAUAUAAUUCAAGAAUACUAGUUUUGAGAAAUAGAAACCAUGAUUGAACCUCAAACACUUAAGUUUAUUAUAGUUCACAAUUCUAAUCCUAUCUUUCUUGCUCUAAGUCUCCUGUUCCAAACUACCGAAUCCGUAGACAUUAAGUCGAGUAUUCUUCUUUGCCCAAACCAAUCUCAAACUAUUAAUAAUAGUGAAUUCAUUAUCUACUCAAGGAAAAAGAAGUCUUAAAAAGAUAUAGAGUAACAAACACAUCUUGAGCUAGUACAUGAAACUGAACUGAAUUCAGUCCCAAAAGAGACACACUCAAGUAACAUUUAUUCUAAUCCUAAUGAGCCAAAAGAUGAUGGACUCAAUUUACCAAUUUCCAAAAAGAAAUAAGUAAGAUAUUGCAUAAAUCAUUCAAUUUAUAUAAUUUUAUCUCCUACAAGAGUUUGUCACAGGUUAUUGGGUUUUUGCUACCAAUAUCACAUAAUUGGAUUCCCAAUAAUAUCCAAUAAGCCCUACAAAUACCUGAAUGGAAGACAACCACUGAGGAAGAUAUCUGAGCUCUUAAAAAGAAUAGGACAUGAGAACUUGUUGAACUUUCAGAAAGAAAUAAUCCAAUCAAGAGUAAGUGGAUUUUCACAAUCAAGUACAAAGCAAAUGGGAAUGUGGAUAGAUACAAAGCUUGACUAGUUGCUAAGGGAUUUACGCAAUUCUAUGGAAUGGACUACCAAGAAACCUUUGCUCCAAUUGCCAAAUUGAACAAAAUUCGUGUUUUGUAGUUGUUAGCUAAUUGGCCUUUUCAUCAAAUGGACAUAAAGAAUGUCUUCCUCAAUGGUAACUUAGAAAAAAAAGUGUACAUGGAAAUUCCUUCAUGUCUUAAGACUAAGAUAAACAUUAACAAAGUCUGCAAACUAAAAAAUCCUUAUAUGGUCUCAAGCAAUCUCCUAGAACUUGGUUUGAUCAUUUUACCAUAACUAUAAAGAGGUUUAGUUACUCUCAGUGUCAAUCUAAUCACAUGCUAUUUGUAAAACACACAACUGAGGGAAAAAUUGUCAUUAUCAUCAUUUAUGUGGAUGACAUAAUUCUGACUGAAGAUCAUAAAGAAAAAAUAGGCAAAACUCAAGAGUUUCUUACUCAUGAGUUUGAAAUUAAAGACCUAGGGAAUCUCUAAUAUUUUAUUGGGAUGGAAAUUACUAAAUCAAAAAUGGGUAUUAUAGUCUCCCAACAUAUGUUCUAAACUUACUAAAGGAGACUGGGAUGCUUGGUUCUAAACAUAUAGGCACACCUAUGGACUACAUUACUAAACUAAGAAUUGUUGAAAGAAGUGCUUUAGUGGAUAAAGGGAGAUAUCAAAAGACUUGUGAGAAAACUCAUUUAUCUUUCUCACAUAAAACCAAAUAUUGUCUUUUUAGUUGGCAUGAUUAGCAAAUUCAUAAACAAUCCAACUAAGGAACAUAUGAAAGUUAUGCAUAACUAACCGAAGAUCAACCUCAGGAUAUUGCACCUAUGUAUGGGGGAAUUUGAUUACUUGGUGAAGCAAGAAAUAGUCUAUUGUAGCUUAGAGUAGGGCGUAAAUAUAAUUUAGAGUUAUGACACAUGAAACCUAUGAAGGAAUGUGGUUAAAGAGACUCCUAAAUGAGUUAAAAAUUCUAGUAGAAGAUUCUAUGGAGAUGUUUUGUGACAAUCAAACUGCUACAAGUAUUGCUAAAAAUAUGGGUCAUCAUGAUUAGACGAAGCAUGUGAAAAUAAAUCACCAUUUUAUCAAGGAGAAGAUAGAAGAAUGAAAAUUUUCAUUGGUUUACUCUCUAAUAGGUCUUUAGACAAUAGACAUCCUUAUCAAGGCACUUUCUAGAACCAACUUUGAAAACUUGAGAUCCAAGUUGGGAAUGAUCAACAAUUACAAUCUAGCUUGAAGGGGAGUGUGGAAAUCUGGAAUGUACAUUUGUGUGCACAGUUGUGUUACAACUACAAUUAUAUCAUAGUUGUGUUAUAGUUUUAUCACAGUUGUGUCAUAGUUAUGAUAUAGUUGUACUUCAGUUGAUAUAUUUGUAUUUACCAUUCUUCUUGAUUUUAUGAGCGACUUUCUCUCCUAAAAUUCAAAAUUAGAUUUUUUUUCAAGGAAGAUGGUCUUAGACGUCAUUCAUAUAUAAAUAUUGAUAGAAUAAUCAGUUUGAAAAGAAGAAGAAAAAAAAGUAUUUUUUCUCCCUAAAAUUUCUUCAAAAAAAACAUCAUGGAUGCAGCAACCCUUGGUGCUGAAGUCAUCAUAGCAUGAUCUUGGUACCCAACUUGUUGCCCAAGUUUCCUUACGAUGUAACAUGAAGUCCAUAUUGUACUAACUGAUGUAACAUCCUUCAAUGUUUGAAUAAAAAUAGUAUAUUGACCAUUUGAUAUUAUACUGAUCAAUAUCUUCAUUGCAUUGCUAUAUAUUGUAAUUGAAUAAGGGAGAGAGAUUACAGAAUACAGAAAGUGAAGGAGAUUUCAAAUGGCAAGUUUAAGCUUCCAAAUAAUACAUGUCUUGGUCUUCUGUGCUUGCAUUCUCAUCCCAACCAGUAGUCAGAGCCAUCCCCACCAGCCCGAAAAGCAUGCUGCACUUUUCAUCUUUGGAGAUUCCAUUUUUGAUGCUGGAAACAAUAUUUACAUCAACACCACUACUGAUUAUCAGAGAAAUUUCUGGCCAUAUGGGGAAACCUUUUUCGACUACCCCACUGGGAGAGCUUCUGAUGGCCGCUUGAUACCUGAUUUUAUUGGUAAAAUAGUUGUGUUGUAUGCUGUUAUCAAAGCAUCUGACUUAAAUCUGUUGCCCAGAUGACCCUUGUUUCUUUGCUGCAGCUGAGUAUGCAAAACUCCCAUUCCUUCCACCAUAUCUACAGCCUGGUAAUAAUCAAUUUACUUAUGGGUCAAACUUUGCAUCUGGGGGAGCCGGUGCUUUGGAUCAGACUAAUCAAGGAUUGGUAUGCCAUCUCUUGAAAUCUAGAUGGGAUAGUCUAGCUCAUUUCCAUUACUGACCAAGCAACUCAACCAUUUUUUUAGUUGAUUAUGUGAAGUGUUUGUUUGGCACAAGAUGGAUUAAAUGUGAACGAUCAUGUAGAUAACAUGUCUUGUAACAUUUUCAGGUGGUAAACCUCAACACACAGCUAACCUAUUUCAAGGAUGUGGAGAAACUGUUAAGGCAGAAGCUAGGUGAUGAAGCUGCCAAGAAAAUGCUGUUUGAAGCUGUCUACUUGAUCAACAUCGGAUCCAACGACUACUUGAGUCCCUUCUUAUGGAACUCCACUGUGCUUCAGUCCUACUCUCACGAACAAUACGUUCAUAUGGUGAUCGGCAAUUUGACUGUAGUAAUCAAAGUAAUAGUAAUAGCAUCUUUUGUCUUAAAAACAGUUUCAUUUCUCUAUGUUCUGUCCUUAUGAUUUGUCUAUGUUUCAGGAAAUAUAUAAGAAAGGAGGAAGGAAGUUUGGGCUUCUUGAUGUGGGGCCAUUAGGCUGUGUGCCAAUUAUGAAAGAAAUCAAACUCCAACAGGGAGGCAUGGGGUGCAUAGAAGAAUCCACAGAGCUAGCAAAACUACACAACAUAGCUCUCUCCAAGGUCCUGCAGGAACUAGAGAGCAAGUUGAAAGGAUUCAAAUAUUCAAUUUCCAAUUUCUAUACUUUUCUUGAGGAAAGAAUGAACAACCCUUCAAAAUAUGGUAUGCUAUCGCCCUCUUCAUAUUAUAUGCUUUUCCCUGUGGCCAAAUUUCACCUCUGUCAUAACUCACCUUCUGUAUUGUUUCUGCAAAGGUUUCAAAGAAGGGAAGAUAGCAUGUUGUGGUUCGGGUCCCUUCAGAGGACUUUCCAGCUGUGGGGGGAAGAGUAGCAUAAAGGAGUAUGAGUUAUGCAGCAAUGUGAGCGAAUACGUGUUCUUUGAUUCAGUUCAUCCUACAGACAGGGCCUACCAGCAGAUAGCUGAGCUAAUUUGGAGUGGAACUCGCAACAUUACAGGACCCUACAAUUUGAAAGCACUAUUUGUUUGAUUGAGCUUAUAUGUUCAAAUGCCUAAUAAAUGAGUUCAACAUGUGCAUAAUAAAUGAGUUCAACAUGUGCAUAAUGAAUGAGCUCAACAUGUCAAGUGCUGUACUAUUCUAUUUUACGACUCAGAAAAUUACUUUUGCCAAUAAAAAUUGAAGUCUUAAUGUAAAGAGAACUUCACGGCUGAACAAAACCCUACCUAUGGUUUUCAAAGCCAUCAUCAGAUAUAAAGUUCAAGAGGAAUGGUCUUGGUAAACAUCUUAUUCCCCAAGUCCCAUUACAAUUUUCAGUAUGAAAUGCAGGAAUUUUUUAAUAUUAGUCCAUAUCAGUAGUUGAAUGGUAAUAAGAUGUUGACCAUUUGAUAUCAUACUAAUCAAAAUCUUUAUCACAUGGCUGUAUAUAAAAGUUGGAACAAAGAGAAAGAUUACAGAGACUGAAUUAGGCUUCAAAUGGCAAGCUUAAGCUUCCACACCAUCCAUGUCUUGGUCUUCUGUGCUUACCUACUCAUCUCAACCAGUAGCCAGAGUCUUCCCCACCAGCCCAAAAAGCAUGCUACACUUUUCAUCUUUGGGGAUUCACUUUAUGAUGCUGGAAACAAUAACUACAUCAACACCACCACUGAUUAUCAGGCAAAUUUCUGGCCAUAUGGGGAAACCUUUUUUGGCUACCCCGCUGGGAGAUUUUUGGAUGGCCGCUUGAUCCCUGAUUUUAUUGGUAAGAGGGUAGUGCAGUAUGUUGUUGUCUUUAGCAUCUGAGUUAAUCUGUUGCCCAGCUGAUGCUUGUUGCUUUGCUGCAGCUGAGUAUGCAAAAUUCCCACUCCUUCCACCAUAUCUACAACCUGGUAAGGAGCAACUUACUUAGGGGGCAAACUUUGCAUCUGCUGGAGCUGGAGCUCUAAACGAUAUUCAUCAAGGAUCGGUAUAUGACCUCUUGAAAAUGGACUAGAAUCACCUAAAGAAUUGAUACUUGGUGCUGCAGGCACCGAUGGGCAUGAAGUCUAAUUGGGAAUGCCCAGCUCAUUUGUGUUGUUGUAGUUGAUUGUAUCACUCCAUAUGCCUGUACAGCAGACAUUAUCAGGUUGACAGAAUGGUCUUCUUCCAUUUUCAGGUGAUAAAUCUUAACACACAGCUAAGCUAUAUUGUAAAGGCAAAGAAACAGUUGAGGCAGAAGCUUGGUGAUGAAGCCACCAAGAAAAUGCUGUCUGAAGCUGUUUACUUGACCAGCAUUGGAAGCAAUGACUACUUGAGCCCCCUCCUCUCAAACUCUGUGUUUCAGUCCUACUCCUAUAAGAAACAAUAUAUACAUAUGGUGAUUGGCAAUUUGACAGUUGUAAUCAAAGUAAUAGCAUCUUUUUUAUUAACAACAGGUUGUUUUAUUUUACUUCUUCUAUGAUUGGCCCCUAUUGUUUUUCUUUGUUUCAGGAAAUAUAUAAGCAAGGGGGAAGGAAAUUUGGUUUUGUUAACUCGGCACCAUUAGGCUGUACACCUGUAAUGGAAACAAUAAAACUAGGAGGCAAUGGGGAGUACAUGGAAGAAGCAACAAUGCUAGCAAGACUACACAUCAGAGCUUUCUCCAAGGUCCUGCAGAAGCUAGAGAGCAAGUUAAAAGGAUUCAAAUAUUCAAUUUCCAAUUUCUAUACUCUCCUUGAGGAAAGAAUGGACAACCCUUCAAAAUAUGGUAUGCUGCCCUCAUCUUCAUAUUAUAUGCCAGUCCCUGUGGCCCAAUCGCACCUCUGUUCUAACUCCCCUUUUGUGUUUAAUGUGCAAAGAUUUCAAAGAAGGGAAGACAGCCUGUUGUGGUUGGGGUCCCUACAGGGGUCUUCUUAGCUGUGGAGGGAAGAGAACAAUAAAAGAGUAUGAGUUAUGCAGCAACGUAAGCAAAUGUCUUCUUUCAUUCAGCUCAUUCUACUGACAGGGCCAACCAGCAAAAGGCCAAGUUAAUGUGGAGUGGAACUCGCAACAUUACAGGACCCUACAACUUGAAAGAACUAUUUGAUUGAACUAUGUUUCAGCACUUUUCUGACACUCGUAUGUACCUCUUAUUUUCAAAUACUUAAUAAAUGUGCUCGAUGUUUUCUUUCUUCUGAAUGAAAGUUUUGUUGAGGGUCAUUGGGUUGGAAGUUUCUUCCAACUAUUGUUCACCUUCUUAUUUUUGUCUUUCCUGAUAAUGAUCAAAACACCUGCUAGAUCUCUAGCUAACAUAAAACUCUUGAGGAAGAGUAACAACCAUGCUUGCUGCAUCAGGAAACAGAUUAAAAUUUAAACCUUAAGAGAAAAAUAUUAGGCCAUCUUGACCCCAAAAGAAUGAAAUUUUUUACUCCCAAAGUCAUCAUCAGAUAAGGUUGGUUAACAAUAUAAUAUGAAUUGAAAACUGUUCAGAUUGAUUCCUUCAAACCACUGCUAGUUUAUUAAAAGAAUUUCUGGACCAUUUGAUAUUAACACUGAUGAAAAUGUUUGGCUAUGAACAAAAGUAACAACAAAGGAGAAAGAUAACAGAAAGUGAGACAGCCUUCAAAUGGAAAGUUCAGGCAUUUCCGUAAUCCAUGCCUUGCUCUUCUGAGCAUGCCUACUCAUUCCAUCAAGAGGCCUGAGUCAUCCCCACCAGAUCCAGAAGCAUGUGGCAUUUUUCGUCUUUGGGGAUUCGCUUUUUGAUGCUGGAAACAAUAAGUACAUCAACACCACUGAUCAACGGGCAAAUUUCUGGCCAUAUGGCGAAACCUUCUUUGGGCACCCCACUGGGAGAUUUUCAGAUGGCCGCCUGAUCCCUGAUUUUAUAGGUAAAAAUUAUGCAGUGUAUUGUUUUCUCAAGCAUCUGAGUUGAUUUGGUGUUCAGCUGACCCUUGUUCCUGUGCUGCAGCUGAGUAUGCAAAACUCCCAUUCCUUCCACCAUAUCUACAACCUGGUAGUAAUCAACUUACUUAUGGGGCAAACUUUGCAUUUGCUGGAGCUGGUGCUCUAGAUGAGACUAAUCAAGGAAAGGUAUGUAAUCUCUUGAAAAUGGAUUAGAAUUACCUAAAGUGUUAGUGCCUGGUCCUGCAGGCAUGUAUUGGGAUAACUGGCUCAUCUCCAUAAGUAGAUUCUCAGAAUCUCAAUCCAUAUUCAAAUGCAAAGUCCUAGUUAGUAUUCAUGUUUGAUGGCAUGGUCUAGUAUUAUUUUCAGGUGAUAAACCUUAAUACACAGCUGACCUAUUUUAAGAACAUGGAGAAACUGUUGAGGCAGAAGCUAGGUAAUGAAGCUGCAAAGAAAAUUCUAUUAGAAGCUGUUUACUUGAUUAGCAUUGGAACCAAUGACUACUUGAGCCCUUACUUCACAAACUCAACUGUGCUUCAGUCCUACCCUCAGAAGCUAUACCGGCAUAUGGUGAUUGGAAAUUUGACGGUUGUAAUCGAAGUAAUAGCAUCCUUUAUCUUUGAAACCAUUUUUUCUACUUGACAUACUAGAGAACAGUGGUUUUGGCAUACUCUUAUUAUGUGUCUGUUUUUCAGGAAAUAUACGAGAAGGGAGGAAGGAAGCUUGGGGUUCUUAGCUUGGGGCCAUUAGGUUGCAUACCAGCCAUGAAAGCAAUCAAGAAACCAGGAACUGGUGAGUGUAUAGAAGAAGCCUCAGAGCAAGCAAAACUACACAACAAAGCUCUGUCCAAGGUUCUGCAGAAGCUAGAGAGCAAGUUAAAAGGAUUCAAAUACUCGAUGUUUGAUUUCUAUUCCACUUUUGAGGACAGAAUGGAAAACCCUUCAAAAUAUGGUAUGAUUUCAUCAUCUUUAUAUUACAUGCUUUUCUCUGUUCCCUAAUUGCACCCUUGUUCUAACUCACCUUUUGUGUUGGUGCUGCAAAGGUUUCAACGAGGGGAAGACAGCAUGCUGUGGCUCAGGUCCCUACAGGGCUCUUGUUAGCUGUGGGGGGAAGGGAACAAUGAAAGAGUAUGAGUUAUGCAGCAAUGUAAGGGAAUAUGUGUUCUUUGAUGGAGGUCAUCCUACUGACAAGGCCAACCAGGAAAUGGCCAAGUUAAUGUGGAGUGGAACUCACAACAUUACAGGACCCUACAAUUUGAAAGAACUAUUUGCUUGAACUAUGUUAUAGCAUUUUGCUGGCAUUCAUGAUAUGUACCUCAUAUUUUUUAAUACCUGAUAAAUGUGCUCAAUGUUUGGUUUCUUCUGAAUGGAAGUUCUGUUGAGGCAAUUGCAUUGGAGGUUGUUUCCCAACUUGUUUUUGCCUUUCUAAAGAAAAUGAGAUGCCUAACACCAUUAUAGUUGUCAUUUCUGAUUAAUUGUGGGUAUAGUUAAGGCAUAGCUCGGAUAUCACUUGUUGUAUAGAAUGAAUCCCUGAUACCGUUUGUUAUGCAGGCAAAAAGUUCAUUGUUAACAUAUCAGUGCAAGUACACGAAGAUAAAAUCAAUCCUUAUGUAAAUGAGGAUUUUGGUUUUAUUUCUUGAAGAGUAUUAGGGUCAACCCCAAAACUCCUCAAGUAUUAUUAUGCAUCAUUUUUGUGUCAAAGGUGCUUUCUUAAAAUAAAAAAUAAAAAAUAAAAAGACUUAAGAAUUUUUAGUAGAUCUCCUGCUUUCAGGCAUGGUUGGAAGACAAUCAUCAAAAUAUGUCCCUACAGUUGAGUUAUCCAGAUAAUCAAAUAUGUUAUUUUUCUUUAGAAUAAGGCAUCACUCAGUCAACUGUCUUUUGGUGGCACAGGAUGCAAAGCUGCCAUAUUUGAAACCUCAUCUACAACUUGGAUUUACUGAUAAAGCCAAUUUUGCAUCCAUCCAACUUGAUUUGGGUUCUUUUCAAAAUCCUAUCCAGGAAUGGUAGGUGAUCUUAUGCAUUAAAUAUUAGUUUUCAAAAUAGAAUCCCGGAUCAGGCUGAUAUGUAAGAGCAUAUUUAAGAGCGAUUUUAAGAGUUAAAAACGCUUCCUAAUGUUUGAAACCGUGUCCUUAUAAAAAUUAGGUGUUUUGUAAAUUUUAAAAAUUUACAGUUAAAGAUCAGAGGAAGCACUGGAAAUGAUUCCUCAACAAUCACUUAGUUUUUUUUAUCAUAUAACACAUUAUCAAAGCCCUUUUUUGGGUGAUUUUUCUUAAAAACAGAAAUAAUGAAAACACUUCUUAAAAGCGUUUUAGACUAAAACAGAUUUCGCUUUCCAACUAAUAAAUCAAUGGACCAUCUAAAGGUUGCAGGCAACCUUUGUUUGUGAGGCCUCAAGCCUUAAAGAAUGGAACACAGCUCAUGACAUUUGAACAAGUCACACACCAUGAAAUUUAGCAAACUAUUAUAAUGAUGAAACAAAUAUAUAAUAAUGAUUUCUUUUUUAACUCAACCAAUUCUUCAAUUUAAAAAUCAAGAUUGAAACAUUAUUGUAUAGCAAAAUUGAUUCAUCUUGUCUGCUAUAUAAUAUAAAGACCAUAUGUAUAAUAAUUGAAAGUAACGAUAACAGAUAAAGCAAAGCAGGCUGAAAAUGGCAAGUUUCAGCAACUUCCACAUGAUCCAUCAUAUCUUGCUGAUCUUCUCUUCAUGCCUACUCAUCCCAACCAGCAGCCAGAGUCACCCCCACCAACCUCAGAACCAUGUGGCCUUUUUCAUCUUUGGGGAUUCACUUUUGGAUCCUGGGAACAAUAACUACAUCAACACUACAACUGAAGAUCAGGCAAACUUCAGGCCAUAUGGGGAAACCUUCUUUAAGUACCCUACUGGGAGGUUUUCCGAUGGCCGGCUCAUCCCUGAUUUUAUUGGUGAGAGAUUGUGGUAUAUGCGUUGUUUUCUUUUACUAUCAGAGUUAGUUAACUCUUGCCCAGAUGACCUUUUAUGCCUUGCUGCAGCUGAGUAUGCAAAACUCCCACUUAUUCCUCCAUAUCUGCAGCCUGGUAAUCAUCAAUUUACUUAUGGGGCCAACUUUGCAUCUGGUGGGGCUGGUGCUUUGGAUGAGAUUAAUCAAGGAUUGGUAUGCGAAAUCUCUUGAAAAGGAAUUAGAAUGAACUAAAGAGUUGGUAUUUACUGAUCAUGGUGGCAUGGUCUUAUACCAUUUUUUCAGGUGGUAAACCUCAACACACAGCUAAGGUAUUUCAAGAAGGUGGAGAAACACUUGAGGGAGAAGCUAGGCGAUGAAGAAUCCAAGAAACUGCUGCUUGAAGCUGUCUACUUGAUCAGCAUUGGAGGCAAUGACUACAUAAGCCCCUUGUUCAGGAACUACAGUGUGUUUCAGAUCUACUCUCAUAGGCAGUACCUAGACAUGGUGAUGGGCAAUUUGACAGUUGUAAUCCAAGUAAAACGAUCCUUACUCUUUCUUGACAUUAAAAUCAGGUUGCUGCUGCUUUCUUUCUAUACUUGUCCUUGUUGUUUUUCAUUUCUCAGGAGAUAUAUCAGAAAGGAGGAAGGAAAUUUGGGUUCGUGAACAUGGGGCCAUUGGGCUGUCUACCAGCCAUGAAAGCAAUCAAACUCCAACAAGGAGGCGCUGGUGAGUGCAUGGAAGAAGCCACAGUGCUAGUUAAACUACACAACAGAGUUCUUCCUGAGGUCCUCCAGAAGCUAGGGAGCAAGUUAAAGGGAUUCAAGUAUUCAAUAUUUGAUUUCUAUACUACUGCUAAGGAAAGAAUGGACAACCCUUCAAAAUAUGGUAUGCUAAUAGCCUUCUUCAUAUUUGUAUGCAUCUGGGUUAUGGCCAAAAUGCACCUCUGCUCUAAUCCACCUUCUCAAUUCAUGUUGCCAAGGUUUCAAAGAAGCGAAGAUAGCAUGCUGCGGUUCGGGUCCCUACAGGGGUCUGUACAGCUGUGGAGGGAUGAGAGGAACAAAAGAGUAUGAGCUAUGCAGCAAUGUCAGUGAAUACAUGUUCUUCGAUUCAUUUCAUCCUACUGACAGGGUCUACCAGCAGCUGGCUGAAUUAGUAUGGAGUGGAACUCACAAUGUGAUAAAACCAUACAAUUUGAAACAAUUGUUUGGACAUAGUCAGGAAGAGAUACCAUGCGACCAAUUUGAGCAUCUUCCUUAUACUAGCAAUGUGCCAUAGAACAACUGAGCGCCAUAAGUAUUUCAUUUUUCUCAAUCUGUUCAGCAUCGUUCACCUAGUAAAGGGGCUCAUUGUUUGGUGUCUUCUGAAUGAAGGUCUUGUUCGGGUAAUUCAACAAUUGUUGUUUGAAGCUUUAUAGGACUCUGCUCCGAAUCUUGGUCAAUUCUCUGCUUUGAUCAAGAUUUGAAUUUGAACUGUCCUAUAUAUCUUUUUGUGAGAGAUUUGUCACUUGAAAUAACUUCUCAAUGGAGGAAGAGUAGGAAUGUGUACUUCAAAAAUUGGAACAAGCAGAAUAAUAUGAGUUUCAUCAUUUCUCAUCAUCAGAUAUCCAGGGAUUUGCUGCACUAGUACACCUAUGGAAACCCCAUGUUUGAGUUUCUUUUUGCUGGUAGUUGAGUCUAUUCAGGUUGCCUUUAUGGUAGGGAAACCUCUAUAAAUCUUCUGUAUUUUUUUAUUGUGACUGCCCCCUUUGUAUGGCAAAGAAUCCUCUCCUUUUUUUAUAACACUUUCACUUUUUCUUUCAUCAAAAAAUCAUUCAUUUUGAUAUGCACAAUCAUUCAUUUUGAUGAAGGGUGGCAAUUAAUAUUGGUGGGUCAUGUUCGUGUCGUCUCAAAACUCAAGUACUCGACUUAAUAGAUCAAUUCAAACACAACACGAAUAAUUAUUAGAUUAAAAAAAUGAACUCAAGAAAUGCUUAAUUAUUGAACAAGUUACAUAACAUGACACAUGUAUAACUCAUUUAAUAAUCAAGUCAAGUUGAUCUUAUUUAAGUUGAUAUGAUGAACCUUACAUGUUUAUGACUUAAAAUAGAUCUUUUUAUUCAAAAUCAAAUUUUUAGUAAAUCAAACAUGGAUUAAUAAUAAGUUUCGGGUUAUAAUUAACCUAUUAAAUAAGUUGAUUCUGGAUUAUGCAAGUUGACCCAAAAACAAGUAAAAUUUAUUAAAUGGGUUAUGCAAGUCGAUAUGAAUUUCACUCAAAUACAUAUAUACUCAAUUCAAACUCAUAAAAAACGUAUCAGAUUCAAGCACAAAUCCUAUCAAACUUUACCACCAAAGCCCAUAAUUCAUUUGUACUCUCAUCACAGCUCUGGUCCACAUCUCUGGAACACUGUGUAUUGACUAAUCCAAUUGCCUUCUGUAUUUUCACACCAAGCAGACCAUCAGCCUGGCACUGGUCAUGGGGCCACUGCAAGCCCCACAAGGACUCACGCCCAUAUGGAAAGAGUGCCAAAACUCCUUGAAAAAAUUGGCUCUGGACUUAAAACUUAUAAAUAGCCAUUGUUUUGCGCUCAACAACACAAGAAAACUUACACAGAGAAGACAGCAUCAGCUUCAACAUGGCAAGCUCCACCUUCCACUUAUGUUUCCUGACCAUCUUUGCUAGCCUGCUCAUCCCAGCCAUCUGCCAUGGUCACUCCCAGAAGCCCAAAAAACAUGUGCCAUUGUUCGUCUUUGGCGAUUCCCUCUUUGAUCCUGGCAACAAUAUCUACCUCAACAGUAGCCACAAGGAGGCAUCAGCUUUCUGGCCAUAUGGGGAAACCUUCUUCAAGCAUCCUACCGGCAGACUUUCUGAUGGCCGUUUAGUCCCUGAUUUUAUCGGUAAGACUGGUAACAAAGUGUGAUAGCCAUAUAUUAGUCUCACCCAACUAACCCUUCUAGAUUUGUUGCAGCUGAGUUUAUGAAGCUGCCAUUGCUUCCACCAUAUCUACAACCUGGUGCACAUAGAUUUACUGAUGGGGCCAACUUUGCUUCUGGUGGAGCAGGUGUUCUUGCUGACACUCAUCCUGGAACAGUAAGUGAUCUUUCCAUUCUUUAAUCUGAGUUAUGAUUAUGAAACCCACAAAGGUUCUGACAUUUUCCUUUUCUUUGAAGUCUUGAUUUGGGGCAUUAUCAUUCAAUGUGCUGCAUUUUCUCUGUUUGAUCUUCAGAUAAGUCUUCUACUGCAGCUGAGCUAUUUCAAGAAUGUGGUGAAGCAAUUGAAACAGAAGCUAGGUAAUGCGAAGACCGAGAAGCUACUGAUGGGAGCCGUUUACUUGUUCAGCAUUGGUGGCAAUGACUAUGGUGUCUUUCAAAUGAAUUACCCCAAUGCUUCUCUAUCCCACCAGAGAGAAUAUGUUGGAAUGGUGAUUCAAAAUUUGACAUCUGUCCUUGAAGUAAGAACAUCCUUUUUUGAGAAGUGAUGACUGUUCUUUUCCUUACUGUAAGGCUUGUAGAUUGGACACUGAAUCAUGCUUUUUCUUAUUAUUCUUCUCCUUGCAGGAAGUCCAUCAAAUUGGAGGUAGAAAAAUUGCAUUUCAGAAUGCAGGCCCUUUCGGUUGUCUACCUUUAACACGAGCUGGGACAAGGAAUGGCGCCUGCGCUGAAGAACCCUCAGCAAUGGCAAAACUACACAACACAGCCCUAGCCAAUGUCCUGAAGAAGUUACAGACUCGCCUAACAGGAUUCAAAUAUUCAAUUUUUGAUUACUACAAUUCACUUGGUGAAAGAAUAAACAACCCUUUAAAGUAUGGUAAGUGAUGAACACAGAACACAGGUCUAGCCAUUCACCAUCGCUGUCUAAUGCUUAUUGUAAUUAACGUGGUGUGAAGGUUUCAAGGAAGGCAAAAGGGCAUGCUGUGGAAGUGGGGCAUACAGGGAAAGCAACUGUGGGGGGCAAGGAGGAACCACAAAGUUUGAAGUGUGUAGCAUUCCUGGUGACUAUGUCUGGUUUGAUGGUGCCCACACCACUGAAAGGGCCAAUAGGCAAUUGGCUGAGCUGCUGUGGAAUGGAACUCCUAAUUGCACGGCACCCAUCAAUCUGAAGCAGCUGUUUGAACAUAUGUGAUUGUAGUAGUAGAUCAUCAUAAAAUCCUUAGAGAUUCCUAGUACUUUUUCUGCUUCUGCUUCUGCUUCUUGAGAUGGUUUCAGAGGUGUUCCUGAUUGAUGAUCACUAGUCAAUAGACUAUAAGUUUUCACCUAUCCAGAUUGAAAGUUUUUCUAAGAUGAACUGCAAAUUAAUCUCAGACCAUGAAUACAUGAAUCAUCCAAAAACAAGUUCCAACUUCCAACAGCAAACCCAAAAGAAAUAUUUGAUUAUUAGUUCAAUUCAUCCAUGGGGAGAGAUCAAAUUCAAGAACAGUGAACCCCAAGUGAAUAGAUAACAAAUUCAUUUCCCAUUUAGACAUGAUCUCCUUAUCAUGACCCAUGACUUCAUAUAGUUCACUCCAUCCAUGGGGAGAGAUCAAAUUCAAGAACAGUGAACUCCAAGUGAAUAGAAAUCAAAUCCAUUUCCAAUAUUGACAUGAUCUCCUGAUCAUGACCAAUGACUCAUAAUGACUAAAUUUCAGAUAUAAAUGUAUUUAAAUUUAUAUUUAUAUUAAACCUCAUAUUAAAUAAAAGAAAAAAUUCAUAAUUUUAUAUAUGUAUGUAUAGAUUCCUUAUUGACAUAUUGUAAAAUUGUGAGAACCCAUCGAAGCUAGAACGAAUAAUAUUUAUAGAUUGAAAGUGAAUCAUUAUAAAAGGGUAUCAAUGCUAUAAGAGCCCAUGCUCGUACAUCACUUACUAAAUCGAUACAAUCUCCUCUCUGCCUUAUGCCACCAAACAAGCUGACAUGCAAAGCCAUUUUCUAUUCAAGCUGACAUCCAAAGUCAUUUUCUAUUUAACACACAGAUGAGAGGCCACAGUCACACUUGUUUACACACGUGACCUUAUUAUCCCAAUGCCUUACCUUUGAACUUGGAAGCCAGAAAUGUUGUCGGCCAGUACCGCUGCUGCAGGGCCCCACAUUUGCCCACACCAAAUGGCAUUUGUCUUCUUCCUCUAUUGGCUGAGGCGUCCAGAUCUUGAAGUGCCUCGGCCUCUCCAAGGAAAAGAAAUUAUGAAUUGCUUUGUCUUUAUCUUUAAGAGAUACUCCCUCAUGAAUUAUAUAUUGGAGAUGCCGACAUAAAAGAAAAGAAAAUAUGAAUGCCCAUCUUUUUAUCGUUUCAGAUAUGCUCCUUCCAAAAUUAGAUACCGGAGAUCUGUUAAAAUAACUAUGGACUCACAUAUGUAACAUAGUUUAUAAUUAAGCUAUUUGCAUUCAUGUAUUUGUUUUCUAUUUAUUCUAAAGUAUGGGUCACCUCAUGUGUAGAGCCCAAUACCAUAUGUGUCUCAAAUGAUGGGCCUAAGACACAUAUGGCCGAAUAUUUUUUGAGAAUGGUCCCUAAGGCAUAGAAGGUAUAUAAGGUUGGUGUCUGUUCAAUUUCUGGAGAAAUAUCUUUUGAAUAGACAAGAAACGCUCUCUCCCGCUUCCCAUUGCUAGAGAGAUUACAAAGACGGUGGUUUCCUCUCUACAGCCUUAGAAGAUCCAUACCUUGUUCAAAACCAAGAGAUAAAUGGACUUAGGUUCGUUCGUUUUCUAUAAAAAUGUCUAGCAUAAGUUCUUCAUAUGAUUCAACAUGCGAUCCCAGUCUGUUAUUGGAUUUAUAAUGGAGUUCCCUCAAUUGGUAUCAAAGCCAACAUAUUUAAUCAUUGAAAAAAUUGCCACAUUUUUUUUUAAUUCUUAAUGGAAAUUUCUUUGUAAAAUGUAUUGCAAUCCAAUCUGUCAAAGCCCUUGAUAGGCAUGCAAUUCCACUCCUAUCAUGGUGGCCCAUCCUGCAACGGCGUUUUUUUCUUUUUUUACAGCGAUGACGCUGCGACGCCGCCUUGCACGUUGUGGCGUCGUUUGGCACCACUGUCGAUGUCUCCGAACAUUGGAUCCCUGCGACAUCGCCUAGAGGAGGGAUGGGAGUGUUGGGCUUUGUGGAGCCUAGUUUUGUUUGAUCCGGUUUGACGACCCGACCCGAAUAAUAUUGCAUGGCUUUUUUAAUGGGAGAUUUAUUGAGGCCUGUUGGGCUCGUUUAGCCCAUUGUGGAACCACCCUUUGUAAUUAGGGUUUUUUAGUAUGGUAGGGUUGCCGUGCUAUAUAUAUAUAGAGAAUAUUGUAGCCGCUAGGUCGUACUCUGUAUUCUUCCCUGAUAAUAGUGAUAUCCCUGCAACUCCGUGGACGUAGGCAAAUUGCCGAACCACGUAAAUACUGUCUUGUGUGUGUGAUUGUUUUUCUUUGGCGUGUGUUUUCUCUAAUUUUUUUGUUUCUCACGGGUUGGGAAUUCGGUUUAAUUCCCUACAACUGGUACAGAGCCUAGGGUUAGGUUUGAGUGGGAGCAAUGGCAGAGGAAGCAGGAAAGGCGUCUGGAAUAGAAAAGUUUGAUGGCACAGACUUUGCGUAUUGGAGGAUGCAGAUUGAAGAUUAUCUCUAUGGGAGGAAAUUGCAUCUGCCUCUUUUGGGGACNNNNNNNNNNNNNNNNNNNNNNNNNNNNNNNNNNNNNNNNNNNNNNNNNNNNNNNNNNNNNNNNNNNNNNNNNNNNNNNNNNNNNNNNNNNNNNNNNNNNNNNNNNNNNNNNNNNNNNNNNNNNNNNNNNNNNNNNNNNNNNNNNNNNNNNNNNNNNNNNNNNNNNNNNNNNNNNNNNNNNNNNNNNNNNNNNNNNNNNNNNNNNNNNNNNNNNNNNNNNNNNNNNNNNNNNNNNNNNNNNNNNNNNNNNNNNNNNNNNNNNNNNNNNNNNNNNNNNNNNNNNNNNNNNNNNNNNNNNNNNNNNNNNNNNNNNNNNNNNNNNNNNNNNNNNNNNNUAUGAAAAGUCGUCCGCAAACAAUAAGGUGCAUCUGAUGAAGAAAUUGUUCAAUUUGAAGAUGGCAGAGAAUGCAUCAGUAGCACAACAUCUAAAUGAAUUUAAUACAAUCACAAAUCAAUUGUCGUCUGUAGAAAUUGAUUUUGAUGAUGAGAUUCGUGCUCUGAUUGUCUUGGCUUCUUUGCCAAACAGUUGGGAGGCAAUGAGGAUGGCAGUAAGCAAUUCUACAGGAAAGGAAAAGCUCAAGUACAAUGAUAUACGAGAUUUAAUUCUGGCUGAGGAGAUUCGCCGAAGAGAUGCAGGUGAAACCUCAGGAUCUGGUUCUGCCCUAAACCUUGAGACAAGAGGCAGAGGUAAUAACAGAAAUUCAAAUCAGGGUAGAUCAAAUUCCAGAAAUUCUAAUCGGAACAGAAGCAAAUCUAGAUCAGGCCAACAAGUACAAUGCUGGAAUUGUGGGAAAACAGGUCACUUUAAAAGGCAAUGCAAAAGCCCUAAGAAGAAGAAUGAAGAUGAUUCUGCUAAUGCUGUAACAGAAGAGGUACAGGAUGCAUUACUUCUUGCAGUAGACAGUCCACUUGAUGAUUGGGUUUUGGAUUCAGGAGCUUCGUUUCAUACCACUCCACACCGAGAAAUCAUACAGAAUUAUGUUGCAGGUGAUUUUGGUAAGGUGUAUUUGGCUGAUGGUUCAGCCUUGGAUGUUGUGGGUCUAGGAGACGUUCGAAUAUCAUUGCCCAAUGGGUCUGUUUGGUUACUGGAGAAGGUUCGAUAUAUUCCUGACCUGAGGAGGAAUCUGAUUUCUGUUGGACAACUUGAUGAUGAAGGACAUGCAAUACUAUUUGUUGGUGGUACUUGGAAGGUUACAAAGGGAGCUAGGGUAUUGGCUCGUGGAAAGAAGACUGGCACUCUGUAUAUGACCUCAUGUCCAAGAGACACAAUUGCAGUUGCUGAUGCAAGUACUGAUACAAGCCUAUGGCACCGCAGACUUGGUCACAUGAGUGAGAAAGGGAUGAAGAUGUUGCUGUCAAAAGGAAAACUACCAGAAUUGAAGUCCAUUGAUUUUGACAUGUGUGAAAGUUGCAUCUUAGAAAGCAAAAAAAGGUGAGCUUCUUGAAAACUGGCAGACACCGAAAGCUGAAAAAUUGGAACUAGUACACACUGAUUUGUGGGGCCUUCUCGGUUGCAUCCCUAGGAGUUCAAGGUACUACAUCACUUUAUUGAUGACUCAGUAGAANNNNNNNNNNNNNNNNNNNNNNNNNNNNNNNNNNNNNNNNNNNNNNNNNNNNNNNNNNNNNNNNNNNNNNNNNNNNNNNNNNNNNNNNNNNNNNNNNNNNGAGCCAGAGUGUUAUGAUGAAGCCUUGCAAGAUGAGAAUUCAAGCAAGUGGGAGUUAGCCAUGAAGGAUGAGAUGGAUUCCCUGUUGGGGAAUCAGACAUGGGGAACUGACUGAAUUGCCAGUAGGAAAGAAGACUUUGCACAACAAGUGGGUAUACAGAAUAAAGAAUGAGCAUGAUGGUAGCAAACGUUACAAGGCCAGAUUAGUUGUUAAAGGGUUCCAGCAGAAGGAGGGCAUUGACUACACAGAGAUAUUUUCUCCAGUUGUGAAGAUGUCAACAAUUAGACUUGUACUUGGAAUGGUGGCCGCAGAAAACUUACAUCUUGAGCAGUUAGAUGUGAAGACAGCAUUCCUUCAUGGUGACUUGGAGGAAGACCUUUACAUGAUUCAGCCAGAAGGGUUCAUUGUUCAAGGACAAGAGAAUCUAGUCUGCAAACUGAGAAAGAGCUUGUAUGGCCUUAAACAAGCUCCUAGACAGUGGUACAAGAAGUUUGACAAUUUUAUGCAUAGAAUUGGGUUCAAGAGAUGUGAAGCUGAUCAUUGUUGCUAUGUUAAGUCCUUUGACAACUCUUACAUCAUAUUACUGUUGUAUGUGGAUGAUAUGCUUAUUGUAGGGUCUGACAUUGAGAAGAUUUAUAAUCUGAAGAAGCAAUUGUCCAAACAGUUUGCAAUGAAGGAUUUGGGAGCUGCAAAGCAAAUCCUUGGUAUGAGAAUCAUUAGAGACAAAGCUAAUGGUACAUUGAAGCUUUCACAGUCAGAGUAUGUGAAGAAAGUUCUCAGCAGGUUCAACAUGAAUGAAGCUAAACCAGUGAGCACACCCUUCGGUAGUCAUUUCAAACUAAGCAAAGAACAGUCACCAAAGACAGAAGAAGAAAGGGACCAUAUGAGCAAGGUGCCCUAUGCCUCAGCUAUUGGCAGCUUGAUGUAUGCUAUGGUGUGUACAAGGCCAGACAUUGCACAUGCAGUGGGAGUUGUGAGCAGAUUCAUGAGUAGGCCUGGAAAGCAGCAUUGGGAGGCAGUCAAGUGGAUUUUAAGAUAUCUGAAGGGUUCAUUAGAUACAUGUCUUUGCUUCACAGGUGCAAGUUUGAAACUGCAGGGUUAUGUAGAUGCUGAUUUUGCUGGUGAUAUUGAUAGUAGAAAGAGUACUACUGGGUUUGUUUUUACUCUAGGUGGUACAGCUAUAUCAUGGACUUCAAAUCUACAGAAGAUUGUUACUUUGUCUACUACAGAAGCUGAGUAUGUUGCAGCAACUGAAGCUGGAAAGGAGAUGAUUUGGCUACAUGGUUUCUUAGAUGAAUUGGGUAAGAAGCAAGAGAUGGGCAUUCUACACAGUGACAGUCAGAGUGCAAUUUUUCUUGCCAAAAAUUCGGCUUUUCAUUCAAAGUCGAAACAUAUACAAACAAAAUAUCACUUUAUCCGUUAUCUUGUUGAGGAUAAACUGGUAAUACUUGAGAAGAUUUGUGGAUCUAAGAACCCUGCAGACAUGUUGACUAAGGGUGUCACUAUUGAGAAGUUGAAACUGUGCGCAGCUUCAAUUGGUCUUCUAGCUUGAGGACAGGAGGAUGAGUUGUAGGGAUGAGGGAUCGUUUCUUGGAGGAUAGCGGUUUGAUGUUGGUGAUUGGACUAGUCUCCAAGUGGGAGAUUUGUUGGGCUUUGUGGAGCCUAGUUUUGUUUGAUCCGGUUUGACGACCCGACCCGAAUAAUAUUGCAUGGCUUUUUUAAUGGGAGAUUUAUUGAGGCCUGUUGGGCUCGUUUAGCCCAUUGUGGAACCACCCUUUGUAAUUAGGGUUUUUUAGUAUGGUAGGGUUGCCGUGCUAUAUAUAUAUAGAGAAUAUUGUAGCCGCUAGGUCGUACUCUGUAUUCUUCCCUGAUAAUAGUGAUAUCCCUGCAACUCCGUGGACGUAGGAAAAUUGCCGAACCACGUAAAUACUGUCUUGUGUGUGUGAUUGUUUUUCUUUGGCGUGUGUUUUCUCUAAUUUUUUUGUUUCUCACGGGUUGGGAAUUCGGUUUAAUUCCCUACAGGGAGCAUUGCUGUAGGUUGUGGCGGCACCUUUGUAGCGUCGUUUCAAGCAAUCGAGACACCAUUAUGGCGUCAUUCCCAGUUAAGCGACACCAUCCAAGCGUCGUUUUGGCGCCGUUGUUGCAAGCAUUCCAGCGACGUCGUUCAGGCGCCAUUUCACACCGGUGAGAAGCGUCGUUUUGGGCGUUGUUGCAGGCAUCCUAGCAACGCCAUUACGGCAUCUUUCUGUGAAGGCGUCAGCAUUUCAAUGAUGGUGCUCUUGCGACGCCGCUCUCGGCGUCGUUGAUGAUUGGAGAAGAUGAUGCUACUUUGGCGUCAUUCGGCGGUCACUGAAAACUGUUUUAGGGCCACUGUUGGAGUCGUUUGAGGAUCGCUCUAGCGCCAUUUUGGAGCCACUAAUGACGCCGUUGUUAGGGACCUUGGGAUCGUUUGGGGCUGCAGUAAAUAAAUUAAUAUAUAUAUUAUGGGAUUCCUGGGUCCCAGACAUAUGCAUCUUUCUAACCUUUUCCCAGGUGACGUCAAAUCCUAACUUUUUCCCAUCAAGGUGCCCGGUGAUAGGAAGUAUAUGCAAAGUAUCCUCGAUGCCUUAAAUUUUCUCUAAAUCCAUUUAUGAUCUGCGGCAUGCUUGCAUGUAUAUAUAUAUAUAUAUACAUGGGUUUAUGCAUCUAAAAUGAAUGCCUUCUCUAAGCUAUUGAUAAUAAAGGACUGGUGGUGGUUUGAUAAAUAAAUAAAUAAAUAAAGGUCUUAAUGAGAUUGACAUGUAAUCCCUCCUCUAUUAAGGCAUUCCAAGCAUGAAUUAUAUUAAUGUCAUCUCAUUGGAAAUUUAUUUACUUUUAUUUAUCUAAACUAAUCCAUGUUAUAGGAAGAUAGGCACUUGUUAUGGGUUUCUCAUUUAGCUUUGGUGAGAAACACUAGUAUUUGAGUUAUGGAUUCAGUUUUAGAGAGAGAAACUCAACUGAAACCAUAAUUCAGGUUAUUCGCAUAGAGUUUAAAUAAUGAAUUUAGCCUUUUCUUGCUACAUUUGUGUUUAAUAUUUUAAAAUAAAUGAAUUAUGUAUAUUUGUUGCCAAAGUAACUUAUAUUAUAUAAUUUAUUUAUUCUAUAAUAUAUAAACAUGUUAUUAUUAUAUAAAAUAAUCGACCCAAAGGAAAAUUAUUUUAAUAUAAUAAUAAAUGAAGUAGUCAUAAAUAUGUGAUAUAUAAAGUUUAUCUUGCAUGUUGUAUGUCAGUCCAAAGACAGGCAUAUUGCUUCGGUUUUAUAGUUAAUAUUUCUAAUUAAUUUUGAAAAUGAUACCAAUUACAAGUUGAUAUUUUUGUCCAAAGACUGAAUAUUAAUGUUUGUGCUAGGUAUUUUGUAAUAGGCCCACAUGCAUAUACAUAUAUAUGUUAAAUUUUUAUUUAUUCAUGUAUGUAUGAUAUUUUUGUGACUAAUUGUGAGCUUUAUUGUUAUGAGUUUAGCAUCUUCUAUAUCUGCAAAUGUUAAUAACAUUUCUAUGUUUAAUGGCACAAACUUAAAGAAAUGGAAGGAGCACGUUAUAAUUGUGCUCGGGUGCAUGGAUUUGGACUAUGCAUUAAGAAAAGAUCGCCUCCAAACCUUACUAAUGCCCGCACUAUUGAGCAAAGGGUUGUUAUGGAAAAAUGGGAGCGAUCCAAUCGCAUGAGUCUAAUGACAAUGAAGCACUCAAUUCCAGAAGUUAUAAGGGGUGCAAUACCUGAGGAAACCCGAGCUAAGACAUUCUUGGACCAGAUAACAAACUGAUUCGCUGCAAACAAAAAGGUUGAGAUAAGUACUAUUCUUAGUAAGUUUGUCUCCAUACGGUACAAAGGGAAAGAAAAUAUAAGGAAGUACAUUAUGAUUUAGAGCUGCAUCAAAUGGACGUUAAAACUGCGUUUCUUAAUGGUAACAUCGAUGAGACAAUAUACAUGGUGCAACCGGAGAACUUUGAGUCUAAUGAUUCAAAGCAACUUGUAUGCAAAUUAAAAAGGUCCAUAUAUGGUUUAAAGCAAGCAUCCCGACAAUGGUACCGAAAGUUUGAUCAGGUGAUUACUUCAUUUGGUUUUAAGGAGAGCAUCAUUGAUCAAUGCAUAUAUCUUAAGUUCAGUGGGAGCAAAUUCAUUAUCUUGGUGCUAUAUGUAGAUGAUAUUCUACUUGCAAGUAGUCAUGUGGAACUUUUGCAUGAAACCAAGCAAUUUCUAUCUAGUAAAUUUGACAUGAAGGAUCUUGGUAAUGCAUCUUUUGUGUUGGGUAUAUAGAUCUAGAGGGAUCGUUCAAGAGGUAUACUUGGGCUAUCACAAAAGUCCUACAUCGAUAAGGUGUUAAGUAGGUUUGGCAUGAGCAAUUGUGCACCAAGAGACACGCCUGUGGCAAAAGGCGAUAAAUUUAGUUUGCACCAAUGUCCGAAAAAUGAACUUGAGAAGAAGGACAUGGAGAGGUUUCCCUAUGCCUCAGUAGUAGGAAGUCUCAUGUAUGCAAGGAAGAAAAUGUCGCGAUAUUUCAGUGAUAUAUCGUGUAUCGAAGGGUUUCGACAUGAUAUUUCAUAGAGAAAUAUCGGUUCUGCGAUAAAUCGGUGAUUUAGCGAUAAAUCGGUGAUUUAGCGAUAAAUCGGCUAUUUUUCCCGAUAUAUCGCAUGGUCAAUGCGGAUCAACGAAAGUCAAACGCGCUACAGUGCUACUACAAUGCCUCCCAUUUGCUUGCUGCCGAGAGGAUUUGAACCCCAAACCAAAAGGUUUGGGGUUCACCCGCUUACCACUUGGGCUACCUUGCCCUUUAAUACAUAAUAUGCAACAAAUAUAUAUAUACUUGAACUCAUUAUAUAAAGAAAAUAUAAGAAUAUUUUAAAGAGCAAAUUAAUUAUAAUUAUUUUAUAAUUAAAUGCAAAGUCUUUUAAUUAAUUACCAAAAAUAUAAAAAUUAUAUAAUUUUCUUCAUAAUGUUUUUAAUAUCAUUAAUAAUUAAUUAAAUAUUAAAAAAUUAUAUAUAUAUAUAUAUAUAUAUAUAUAUCAUUAUUUAUUUUAUAUUGUUUAAUACAAUUGAAUUAAAUGAAUCAUAUUUUAAUACUAAUAUAUAUUUUAAAAUUAGACAUAUUAUAAUCAAAUAUCAUAAUAUUAGGUGUAAUUUAAUAAUAAAUGUACACUUAUAAAAUUCAUAUUUUUAUCGAUGCAUACGAUAUUAUUAUCAAAUAUGAUAAAUCAUGUUAUACAUGUAUAAAAAUUUUCAAUAAAAUAACUUUAAAAUGUCUAUUAUACUUCUAAUUAUAUUAUUAUGAGGUUUUCUUUACAUUUUCAUGAGUUUUUAACAAUUUUAAGCUUAUCGAUAUUUUUUUCCAAAAUAUCUGUCAAUAUAUCUCCGAUAUAUCCGAUAUAUCUGUAAAAUCGAAAUACCGAUAUAUCCGUGAUUACCGAUAUUUUCAUCCUUGCAUGUAUGCACAAGUUUGUACACGUCCGAAUAUUACGUACAUUGUUGGAAUGUUGGGCAAAUAUUUGAGUAAUUCAGGUAUGGAUCACUGGAAAAAGGCAAAACGGGUUAUGCGGUAUUUACAAAGAACUAAAUAUUAUAUGCUCACAUAUCGUAGAUCCAGUCAUUUUAGGAUAUUCGGACUCUGAUUUCGCAGGAUGUCUUGACAGCAGGAGAUCCACUUCAGACUACAUCUUCAUGUUAGCUGAAGGAGCAAUUUCAUGGAAAAGUGUUAAACAAACACUUAUUGCUUCUUCCACCAUAAAGGCGGAAUUCAUAGCCUACUAUGAGGCAUCAAACCAUGGGAUAUGGUUGUGGAAUUUUAUCACUUAGUUGCAAAUUGUUGAUGGGGUUGAGAAACCAUUGAGAAUCAACUGUGAUAAUAAGGUUGCAUAAUUAUAUUCUAAGAACAACCGAAGUUCAUCAAAGUCCAAACACAUUGACGUCAAGUUCUUGGUUGUGAAAGAAAGAGUUCAGAGUCUUCAAGUAUCAAUUGAACACAUAAGCACAAGCUCCAUGAUUGCGGAUCCGCUCAGUAAGGGUUUGCCACCCAAAAUAUAUCAUGAGCAUGUCACACAUAUGGGUGUUGUACAUAUUGAUGAUGUGCUAGUAUAGUGGGAGUAUGUAUCUAGAUUUUAUGUUUGUUUUCUUGAUGUGUUAUUAUGUUUGUGUUAUCUGUACAAACCUUGGUUUUAAAGACUAUUGUGUUUAAAUACUCUGAAUUGAAAUGAUAACUUUCAGAAGCAGUUCAGCAUCAAGUGUUGAAAGUGGAAUUUGACUUUUUUUUUUUAGUCAUAAAGUAGGACCAAUUGAAAAUAGACAUAUUAAAGAUCACAUUCUAUAUAAUUUCCAUACUACAACAUCCAAACUUGAUCCAUGUUGCUAAUUUUGUUAAUGUUGUGAUCAUUGAUGGGUCUAGUCAUAAUUAUGAUUAACGAAGCCGCUUUAAUCCUGUGUUAACAUAAUUAGUAGAUCGGAUUGUUUAAGGAUAUUUAGAUAAAAUAGCAAAGAGGAGCUCAAUAAAGUACUAUCACAAACGUUGUUCUGUAAUAUAUGUGGUCCAAAUGGGAUAUUGUUAAAAUGACUAUGGACUCACAUAUGUAACAUAGUUUAUGAUUAAGCUAUUUGCAUUCACGUAUUUGUUUUUUGUUUGUUCUAAAGUAUGGGCCACCUCAUGUGUAGAGCCCGAUACCAUAGGUGUCUCAGAUGAUGGCCCUAAGACACAUAUGGCCCAAUAUUUUAAAGAGAAUGGUCCCUAAGGUAUAGAAGGUAUAUAAGGCUGGUGUCUGUUCAAUUUUUGGAGAGAUAUCUUUUGAAUAAACAAGAAACGUUCUCUCCCGCUUCCCAUCGCUAAAGAGAUUAUAGAGACGGUGGUUUCCCCUUUAUAGCCUUAGAAGAUCCAUACCUUGUUCAAAACCAAUAGAUAAAUGGACUCAGGUUCUUUCUUUUUCUAUAAAGAUGUCUGGCAUAAGUUCUUCAUAUGAUUCAACAUGCGAUCCCAAUCUGUUAUUGGAUUUAUAAUGGAGUUCCCUCAAGAUCCUCCUUCAAAAUUUAGAUAUUUUGUUUCCUAAUUGUUUUUAAAAACAAUUUUUCAAGUCGUUGUUACGAAAAACGAGAAUAAUUAACAAAAAAAAUAAAAACACACAAAUUUACUUGAAAAACUUUAAACGGAAAAAAUCACUAAUAAAAAAAUCUACUAUAAGAAAGAUUGGUACAAAAAGAAAGAAUAUCAAGCGGUUACUACAUAGCCCAAAAUCCUAUGUAAGUAAAAUAUUUUUACUUGAAAAACUUUAAACGGAAAAAAUCACUAAUAAAAAAAUUGGUACAAAAAGAAGAAUAUCGAACGGUUACUAAAUAACCCAAAAUCCUAUAUAAGUAAAAUAUUUUUCUUUCACUAUCAGCCAAUCUCAUGACCCCUCAAAAAAUCUAUAAUUUUUCUUUAUUAUAUAAGUCAUACCUUGAACUUUUUAGGUCGAACUAAAAAGGAAUUUGAAUCAUCAAAAUUCUAAUAGACUUAAAAUAUUUUAAGAAUUUUUAUAUUAUAAAUAAAUGUAUAAUAUUUUAAUGGAGAAAAAACAAGGAAAACUGUUUAUUUAUAAUCUUUGAUUAGUAAGACUUCGACAUCUCAUUGAAAAUCAAUCAAUCGACAUCCAUCCGAGGAAGAAGAGCAACCUUUUUCAUGAUAUUCGACGUCACACAAUCUCAAUCGACAUCUCAUGAUUUAACAAACAAUCCUUUCCUCCAACAUAACGUUCUAGCUAGAUCUGGAUGUGAAACUUGGUAAGAGGACUAGACUCAAGUACCUAUCUGCUUUACUAUACAUGAGAAGACAGAGAAGAUACGUGAAAACAAGUGUUUGCAUUUGAAUUGCCCUAUGACUCCCACCCAUACCUCAUCCGUUGACAAAAGGAAAAAAGCCUUAGAAGGUUGCUCUAAGCAUUGAAUGAAUGAGCCUCAGAAUGUGCAGUGAUCCCAUCCGAAGAUAAAGAAUGCAGAGCAUCAUGCGCACCCAUCACCCCCACUGGCCCACAUCUCUUCAACAGCUAGCGCGUCUUGACUAGGGGGAUUUUCUUUCAUGUUUUCACACCAAGGCCCACACGGCUCACACCCAUCUGAAAACAGUCACAAAGUCCGAGGUUCUGGGCCUUUCGACAUACAUCAUCCCUGAUAAAUAGCCAAUGUGUUGAGCUCAAGAGCACAAGAAAACAGAGUUAGGAGGCAUAUAGCAUCAAGGUCAUCAUGAAAAGCCUGAGUUUCCACUUUUGUGUGUUGAUCAUCUUUGGAAGCCUCCUCAUCCCAGCCAUCUGCCAUGGUCAUGACUCCCACUCCCAGAAGCCCCAUAAACAUGUUCCAUUGUUCGUCUUUGGUGAUUCUCUCUUCGACCCAGGCAACAAUUUGUACCUUAACACUAGCCAUAAGGAGGCAUCAGCUUACUGGCCAUAUGGGGAAACCUUCUUCAAGCGGCCUACUGGCAGGCUUUCUGAUGGCCGUUUAGUCCCUGAUUUUAUAGGUAAGAUACCAGUAGUCAGUACCAAAAAGAGUGAUGCUAACAGCCAUUUAUUAAGAUUACCCAACUGACCCUUGUAGCUUUAUUGCAGCGGAGUUCAUGGAGCUUCCACUGACCACAGCAUAUCUGCAACCUGGCACACAUAGAUUCACCCAUGGAUCCAACUUUGCUUCUGGUGGAGCAGGCGUCCUUGCUGAUACUCAUCCUGGAACAGUAAGUGAUCUUUCCAUUCUUCAAUCUGACUAAUCAAACCCCACAAAAGUUCUUAGAUUUUUCUUUUGUUUUCAGUUCACUGACAGCUUAAUUGUGCUUGUUUGAUCUUCAGAUAAGUCUCCCACUGCAGCUGAGCUAUUUCAAGAAUGUGGUGAAGCAAUUGAAACAGAAGCUAGGUGAAGUGAAGACCAAGAAGCUACUGAUGAGAGCUGUUUACUUGUUCAGCAUUGGUGGCAACGACUACUUCGGCUUCUACAUGAAAAAUCAGAAUGCUUCCCAAUCCUCCCAGACACAAUUUGUUGGAAUGGUGAUUCGCAAUUUGACAAAUGCCCUUGAAGUAUGGACAUCUUUUUCUUUUCUUCCACCUAGAGUAAGGCUAUUAGAUUAAUAAAUUAGACUGUUGAUCCAUAUUUUUGCGUUGGUCUUGUUGCAGGAAAUAUAUCAAAUUGGAGGUAGAAAAAUUGCGUUUCAGAAUGUAGGGCCUCUGGGUUGUGUACCUACGAAUAGAGCAAAAACCGGAAAUGGUGCCUGCGCUGAAGAAGCCUCUGCAAUGGCAAAAAUGCAUAAUGCAGCUCUUGCCAAUGUCCUCAAGAACUUGCAGACCCGCCUACCCAGAUUCAAAUACUCGAUCUUUGAUUACUACAAC
This 41956-nucleotide long non-coding RNA is filed under the name Vitis vinifera (wine grape). RNAcentral's name for it is "long non-coding RNA (VVIN_LNC002705)". The record is from RNAcentral. Lineage: Eukaryota; Viridiplantae; Streptophyta; Magnoliopsida; Vitales; Vitaceae.